RNAcentral lists this ribosomal RNA (472 nucleotides) under uncultured bacterium. RNAcentral describes it as "bacterial SSU rRNA". It matches the Rfam family "Bacterial small subunit ribosomal RNA", at positions 355 to 825 of the family's 1533-position model. The record is from RNAcentral.
UGGGGAAUAUUGGACAAUGGGCGAAAGCCUGAUCCAGCCAUGCCGCGUGUGUGAAGAAGGUCUUCGGAUUGUAAAGCACUUUAAGUUGGGAGGAAGGGCAGUAACUUAAUACGUUGCCGUCUUGACGUUACCGACAGAAUAAGCACCGGCUAACUCUGUGCCAGCAGCCGCGGUAAUACAGAGGGUGCAAGCGUUAAUCGGAAUUACUGGGCGUAAAGCGCGCGUAGGUGGUUUGUUAAGUUGGAUGUGAAAGCCCCGGGCUCAACCUGGGAACUGCAUUCAAAACUGACAAGCUAGAGUAUGGUAGAGGGUGGUGGAAUUUCCUGUGUAGCGGUGAAAUGCGUAGAUAUAGGAAGGAACACCAGUGGCGAAGGCGACCACCUGGACUGAUACUGACACUGAGGUGCGAAAGCGUGGGGAGCAAACAGGAUUAGAUACCCGGGUAGUCCCUGAGCGGGCUGGCAAGGCGCAU